UAAGGUGGUUAUAGCGUUGGGGAUCCACCUCUUCCCAUUCCGAACAGAGAAGUUAAGCCCAACCACGCCGAUGGUACUGCCGUUCAGGUGGGAGAGUAGGUAACCGCCGUCU
Molecule: ribosomal RNA, 112 nt
Filed under: Dysgonomonas sp.
Lineage: Bacteria; Pseudomonadati; Bacteroidota; Bacteroidia; Bacteroidales; Dysgonomonadaceae
Source: RNAcentral